AAUUAUUUACAUUUAUAAUAUACAUGAUAUGCACACUGUAUCAUAACUCAUUAACACAGUACUGUGUUUACUCAAAUAAACAAUCUGAAUACUUUUUAAAUGAAUAUUUUUUGAUGAAGGCACCCAUGUUUUUGCAAUGACACCACACAGCGGGCGACACCCAGACACCUCCUUCUUCCUGUGCUGAUGGCUGAGCGCGGCUUACGACGAACUGACAACAACCUGAGCGGAUACCUGGCGCUGAUCUCGGCUCUUUACGAGGCUGCUUCAGAAAGACGUCUGCAGGACGAGAUGUAAAGGGAGGUGAACUGGAGGGAAAUGGAAGCACGUGGAGUUUGUUGUGAGUUAUGAGGAAAGACACAAGGUGUUGGUGGAGGAGCAGCAGACUGGAAAGAGAAGAGGACUUCAAGAAAAUACUUAAGUAGCAGGUGGAGAACCACAGGGACACAGGCAGAAGCAGCUCAGUCGCCUCUGGGACAAAGUAGAAGACAAGCAGAGGAUGUCGGACGAACUCAGAACUGCUCGAUGAACAAAGGGACUAAAAGGGCCUGAGAGUGACGAGUUGGAGCACAUGGAGCAAACAUUUGACCAAAGCUCAAGAAGACCCAGCAUCAGAAGUCCACGUCUUCUUCCACUGUUCUGUGUGUCUCCUGUACUCAUGUUUGAAACGCUUUUUCAUUAAUUAAAAAAAACAUUUACUGUUCCAUAAUCCCUUGUUUUUAUCUUGCCGAAACACCGGGAGGAGACUCAUGUCUCAACUCCCUUUUCCACCUCCACAGUGGCGCUCUGGACACAGUGCCCUCACAACGGUGAGAACCAAACCCGGCUCUGGCGCCUUCCAAACCGGGAACUGACAGACCACGCCACCAUGCC
Long non-coding RNA from Epinephelus moara (kelp grouper), 873 nucleotides. RefSeq lists it as uncharacterized. The record is from RefSeq and is a predicted model, not a curated record. Lineage: Eukaryota; Metazoa; Chordata; Actinopteri; Perciformes; Serranidae. The transcript is spliced from 5 exons.